UAUCUACUCUCUCUGUUCGAAAAUACUUGUCAUCAAAAUGGAUAAAAAAAUGUAUCUAGAACUAAUAUACAUCUAGAUACAUCUUCUUUUAUUCAUUUUGAUGACAAGUAUUUCCGGACGGACUGAGUACCUA
Triticum aestivum (bread wheat) is the source of this 133-nucleotide non-coding RNA. Lineage: Eukaryota; Viridiplantae; Streptophyta; Magnoliopsida; Poales; Poaceae. The record is from Rfam.